Vespula pensylvanica (western yellowjacket) is the source of this 784-nucleotide long non-coding RNA. RefSeq lists it as uncharacterized. The transcript has 3 exons. Lineage: Eukaryota; Metazoa; Arthropoda; Insecta; Hymenoptera; Vespidae. The record is from RefSeq and is a predicted model, not a curated record.
GUCGGGGGAAAGAGUAGAGAGAGAGUAAUAGCGGGAAAGAGGACGUAGACGAGGAAGAGAGAGAGAGACACCCGCAAUUUCGUGAUUGCUUUUCAGACGACACUUUGUACACCCAUGGACAGCACCAACCAACUCAUUACGGUAAUGACACGUGUGCAUCAAUUCGCAUUAAUAUUCUAAUGGACGUCAGGGAGAGGGAGAGAAUGACUAAGAGAGAAAGAGAGAUAGAAGAGGGGGGAGGGUGCAGACGAGGGUAGCUUGCUCAACAUGGUAAUGGUAGAAUCGGUAUUGGUAUUAGUGUUGGUAGUAGGAGUGCUGCUGGGUCGAAGUGUGGAAGGCUAGAAAGGAGUUGGCAUCGGAGACGAAGGGAGACGCCAUGCUAUCUUGCACAUAAUGCCAAUUAAUUAAUGGAUACUACUGUGGUUCGGCUGGAUUAUGUAACCGGUGCCCAGGACGACUGCUAUCGAUCGACGUCUCGGUGCUGCUAGACGGUGUCAAACGAGUUUUCCCACAUAGCAGUGGAUGGAAAUAUCUGGUCAUAUCCAAGCCAGACAGACAACUCGGACCUAACACUGAUCAGUCGACGGCCUCGUACCAGACUCGUCAAGAUCCAUUUGCGGACUGGGAUGUACAGCUGCAUUACCGUGUCGUGGUGCCAAAUACUAAUGAGAAACACUUUUCCGCUCACCCACAACCCGUUCCGAUUCAGUGGCUUAAGCAACGCUUUUUACUACCACGCUUCGAGUCACUAAUGGUUCAUCAGGGUGAUACGUUAAUGGAUGCC